UACGUAGGGUGCAAGCGUUGUCCGGAAUUAUUGGGCGUAAAGAGCUCGUAGGCGGUUUGUCGCGUCUGCUGUGAAAACUCGGGGCUUAACUCCGGGCCUGCAGUGGGUACGGGCAGACUAGAGUGCGGUAGGGGAGACUGGAAUUCUCGGUGUAGCGGUGAAAUGCGUAGAUAUCGAGAGGAACACCUGCGGCGAAGGCGGGUAGCUGGGCCGACACUGACGCUGAGGCGCGAAAGCCAGGGGAGCGAACGGG
RNAcentral lists this ribosomal RNA (253 nucleotides) under uncultured bacterium. RNAcentral describes it as "partial 16S ribosomal RNA". It matches the Rfam family "Bacterial small subunit ribosomal RNA", at positions 524 to 776 of the family's 1533-position model. The record is from RNAcentral.